CCUAUACAAAUAACGGCAACCGCGCAAAGCCAGUAGGAAAUUUUCAGACAAAUUUGUUUUGCAACUAUGACGCGCUUAUCUUCAGAUAUCAGCGGAAAAAAUAACACAUAACUGCUUGUGUACGGCAAGAUAUCACACAUGUUCUUCUCUUGCUUAUCGUAACGCCCGACAAUGUAUUGUAUAUAUGUACUAUUUACAAGAUUAGCUACACUAACUACUCUAACUAAAGUAAUUUCUGAAAGUGUCACGAAUUUCCUAUAGCCACUCUUCAGUAUUCCAGCAGCACCUCGAAAGCGACAAAGCUACAAAAACACCAAUAUGAAAUAAAAAAGUAAGGAAAGACCACGUACAUUAAAGUCACUCAAAAUUUGAAAGAACCGAGUGAAGUACAAAUGAACUUCCCUAACUCGAAUCACCAUAAUCCACAAAAAAAAGUUAGAGUUAGUUCAGUAGUAUAAAAGGCAGGGAAAUGCUGAGGUUUGAUGCAUUCGCGAGAUAUUUAUAAUUUAUUUAACCAAAUUAACUAACCACUGUAUUCUUAAUGUCAGUGAUGUUGGUAGAAGGAUACAGUGCUACACGAAAUAUUAUCGUUUUUUUAAAGGAGUUACAAUGGGCCUCCCAAAGGCCUAGGUCCGUUCGUAAUGUAAAUGUAUUCAAGUAAAUACUCUGAAAAUUUCAAGUCAAUCCGAGGGUUAUUUUGGAAGUUACACGAAUAAUUCUAACGACUCGAAGGCGCAUUUGAUAGUAGUGGGCCGGUGUGGCGCCUUGUUUUUCAAAAUUAACAAAAAAAAAAUAUUUUGAAAGCCAAGAUUUAGUCUCAAAGUUUUGUACAACUGUAUUUUCUAGCACUUAUUGGAACUUUAGUUAUGUUUAAGGCUGAAAUCAUGUCAAAAAUCGAUUUUUUUAAAAGCCACCAAUUGUUUUGCGUAUUCCUUCGAUUAAGUACAAUAUUAUAUACUAGCAGACCCGGCCACACCUUUUUGUGGCUAAGGUAUACAUUAAAUUAAGUUGGUCCAAUCUCGGCGACGAUAUUGAUAACAACUCUCACUACUUUUAAUGGCAAAGUGAGUGGUGAUAGUAUAGGCAAUUUUAAAUAGGUUGGGAUAAUUGACUACGUCAUCCUGGUUUGUAGCUGUGUAAACUCUCUUGGACCGAAAUUCUAAAUUGUCGCAUUAAGAUCAUCGAUAUCUUUUUUUUACCACCAAUAUAGGUCAUUCAAUCAGUCAUUUAUGGUUAUCAUAUUGAGCAUUCAUGCCAGGAAAACUUCUCUUUCGAGUCAAUGAAGUGACAGAAAUCUGUUGGAAAUGUUAUUAAUCCAUCGAGGUGUCAACUGCCAACUGCUUCUACAAUCGCAAUUUGAUAUUGUUGUAAAAACACUCAUAUGUUAGUUGUUAAUUGGCGAUUCUUUAUGUGUCGCCACAAUUUAAAUGAUUUUAGGCAUGCGAUUAGCCCGUCAGUAACAGUUGAUCCAGGAAUAAUUGGAAGUCUGGCGUAAAUCAGCUGCUAACAGAAUCCUCCACCAAAAACGUUCAUCGACAAUCAAGAUCUUUUAAAGUCCUGUGCAGUACCUCCAGCGACUUCUUGAAUAUUUGGAAAAUCUUCGUUAAAGCGCUAUUUUUGGCGAUUUUGCCGACUGGUGUUUCGUUCAUUUGCAAUUUAGGAGUAAUUUCAAGGCCGAAUGUGCCGUUUGUUUGCCUACUAACAGGUGCCAAGUUGCCCCUAUUCUCGUUAAUCUUGGUGGUGAAAAUGAGUGAAAUUGGUUCUGGAAUUACAUCAGCCCUCAUAUACUAUGUAUGAUGAUUUUCUAUUGGACUUUAUGGCGAAUAUAUAUGUCAAAUUGUGUGUUAUCUUAUUAAAAUUACAUCAAUAAAUUGCGAGAGUAUAAAAUGUUCGGUUGGACCCGAAUUUAGCCUUUCCUUAUUUGUUACAAAUUGUUUUGGGCUAUCGACACAACCUUAUACAAUUGAACAAUAACAAAAAUAUUAUUUUUUUGUUUUCUCUUUUUAUAUUUUUCUUGUCAACUCGAAUAAAAUUCUCUUAUUAUUAUCUUCCUCGCAAUUUUUCCAUAUUUACUCACUUUCGAAUCUUUUUCUGGCUUUCCACGAAUGUUUCAAGACUAAAAUUAGCCAGAUCGUUUUGGCCGUUCUCGUUUUUUUGCGACACAAGCGAACAGCAAUUCAUUUUUAUAUUAUAUUAUUAUCAAGCGACAAUUUUUUUUAAUUCCGCACACGACCAUUCAGUAGGGAGCCGACCGCGCGAGUGAUCUUAACCCCCCUCCCGUACCCCCGUGCCCGAGUGACGCCUACAACUCUACAACGCAUAGUUAGCCGCCGAGCGGCUUUUCAAAAUUUUUAACUCGUGAUAUCUUUUGAAUGGAAUGUCAGAAUCUAAUAAUUCAAAAAGUUAUAUAAAGGUUUUGAAGCGAUCUUAAAUAAUAAAUCAAUUAAUUUAUUUCGAUAAGGAUUAAUACUAAGAAUUGCUAAUAACGCAUUUGGCAUCAAUGACAGCCUACUAACAGGUUCGAAUUGAUUCAACCCAAUUGUUACCCUUUCGAGAUCGAUGACUAAACUUUCUGUACAAUAAUUGGGGAGGAGGUCCACGAAAUCAUCGCCAACUACAUACAUAUGGAUGGAGUCAUAUGUAGAAGUUCACGUAAGUGAGGAAAGAUUCUGACUGCCAUUCACUUGGGAGUGGCCAGGAACGAUUCUUUUGCUUGUGGUUCAAGCAGCUCACGACUUCCGGCCUUAGACUAAGUAUCCUCUGGGUAGUCAACAGACAUCCGUCUGGAAGCGAGCUAAAUUGAGAAGGCGAAUCCCGCUUAUGCGGUUGUGCGUAGGGUUUGGGACCCACCACAUAAAAACGAAUAACCAAUGAAUAAGAAGCAACAGCCUCGGAUGAGACACCCCCCUUUUGAUGACGACUACAGCAAACGUUUAAAGGACUACGAAAUAAGGGCAUGCACCUGGAAUGUCCGGACCCUUAAUUGGGAAGGUGCCUCUGCCCAGCUGGUUGAUGUUCUCGUAAGAGUAAAGGCUGACAUCACCGCAAUCCAAGAAAUGCGAUGGACGGGACAAGGACGGAAGAAGGUGGGUCCUUGUGACAUCUACUACAGCGGCCAUAUAAAGGAGCGCAAAUUCGGUGUGGGAUUCGUGGUGGGAGAUAGACUCCGUCGUCGAGUCCUGGCAUUCACUCCGGUGGGUAAACGUCUAGCCACAAUUUUCAUCAAAGCGAGGUUCUUCAACAUAUCGCUGAUUUGCGCCCACGCCCCGACGGAAGAGAAGGACGAAGUCAUCAAAGAUACCUUCUAUGAGCGCCUAGAACGUACCUAUGAGUGCUACCCCCGCCACGAUGUCGAAAUCGUGCUUAGCGAUUUCAACGCUAGGGUGGGUAAAGAAGGCGUCUUUGGCACAACAGUCGAAAAACUCAGCCUCCAUGACGAAACAUCGCCAAACGGUCUGAGGCUGAUCGAUUUCGCCGGGGCCAGAAAUAUCGUCGUAGUACUAGAUUCCAGCAUAAAAAAAUCCAUCAAGCUACUUGGCUAUCCCCGGAUCGAAUCACUCGCAACCAGAUCGAUCAUGUUGUGAUAGAUGGACGACAUGUCUCCAGUCUUUUUGAUAUGCGUACGCUUCGUGGUCCCAACAUCGACUCGGACCAUUAUCUUGUAGCAGCUAGGAUACGCACCCGCCUCUGUGUAGAAAAGCGCACACGUCAAGGAAGGUUCGACAUCGAUAAGCUGCUAUCACAACCGACAGCCGAACGAUUUUCUACUCGACUUGCACUCCUGCUCUCUGAGAAAGAGGGAGCGGGAGCUGUGGGACGGCAUAUAAAACUCCUUACGUAUAGCUGCAACCGAAACCAUUUGCUUUCGGAAAAGUAAAAAAAAAAAACAGUUGGUAUAAUGAGGAUUGUCGUCUCGCAGUGGAGAGAAAACAUACUGCCUACCUCGCAAUGUUGCGAUCGACCGCAACACGAGCGGGAUGGGAAAGAUACGGGGAGCUGAAGAGGGAAGCGAGACGCAUUUGCAGACAAAAAAGAAAGAGGCCGAAAUGCGUAAGUAUGAAGAGCUUGACAAGCUGGCCGACAGAGGUAAUGCUCGAAAAAUUUACGAAAAGAUCCGGCGACUAACUGAAGGUUUGAAGACCGGAGCACACUUCUGUAGGACCCCCAGAGGUCAUCAGCCUGCUGAAUGGCAGUGAAAGUACAACACCAGGAGAUGGCGAACCCGAUUCCCCAAUCGACGACGAUGGAACAGAUGUUAUUAGAAUAGCAAUUACCCGCUUGAAGAACAACAAGGCGGCGGGGGCCGAUGGAUUGCCGGCUAUUCAAAUACGGCGGCGAAGAGCUGAUAAGGUGCAUGCAUCAGCUUCUUUGCGGAAUAUGAUCGGAAGAAAGCAUGCCCAACGAUUGGAAUCUCAGUGUACUCUGCCCAAUCCACCAUGCGCCAAAUCUUGGAGAAGACCCGUGAAAAGAGGAUCGACACACACCAUCUAUUUGUCGACUUUAAAGCUGCUUUCGAUAGCACAAAAAGGAGCUGCCUUUAUGCUGCGAUGUCUGAAUUUUGUAUCCCCGCAAAACUAAUACGGCUGUGUAAGCUGACCUUGAGCAACACCAAAAGCUCCGUCAGGAUCGGGAACGACCUCUCCGAGCCGUUCGAUACCAAACGAGGUUUCAGACAAGGUCACGAUAGUGAGUGUGACUUCUUUAACCUGAUGCUUUAAAAAAUAGGUCGAGCCGCUGAGCUAAACAGAGAAGGUACAAUUUUUUAUAAAAGUGUACAGCUAUUGGCGUACGCCGAUGAUAUCGAUAUCAUUGGAAACAACACACGCGCCGUUAGUUCUGCUUUUUCCCGCCUGGAUAAGGAAGCGAAGCGAAUGGGUCUGAUGGUGAACGAGGACAAGACGAAAUAUCUCCUGUCAUCAAACAAACAGUCAGCGCAUUCGCGUCUUGGCUCCCACGUCACUGUUGACAGUCAUAACUUUGAAGUUGUAGAUAAUUUCGUAUACCUAGGAACCAGCAUUAACACCGAUAAUAAUGUCAGCCUUGAAAUCCAACGCAGAAUCAGUCUUGCCAACAGGUGCUACUAUGGACUGAGUAGGCAAUUGAAAAGUAAAGUCCUCUCUCAACGAACAAAAACUAAACUCUACAAGUCUCUCAUCAUUCCCAUCCUACUUUACGGUGCAGAAGCGUGGACGAUGUCAACAUCCGAUGAGACGGCACUAGGAGUUUUCGAGAGAAAGGUUUUGCGGAAGAUUUAUGGUCAUGGUCAUGUUGUUCGAAUGGACGAAAGUGCCCCAGCUCUGAAAGUUUUCGAUGCUGUACCCGCUGGUGGAAGGACCAGGUGGAGAAGGACCUGUCUUCACUUGGUAUUACCAAUUGUCGCCAAACUGCCAAACGGAGAGAUGCGUGGCGCGCUGUUGUGGACUCGGCUAUAACCGCGUAAGCGGUUUCUACGCCAGUCAAGAAGAAGAAGUUAAUGAACAUGAGGAUUUUUUAAUGUUUAUUACAACUAUUUUUCUUGAGCCAAAAUUUGAUCAAAAAAUUACUAUCGAAAUCAUUUUGGUUUAUUCAUUUUGGUUGAAUCAAUGAUGAGUUAUGCUCUUCACCGUAAGACCUUUGGUUUUUGAGAUCUCAAGUGAGUUGUGUUACCAACGGCUGAAUUUUCAGUAUUUUUGAAUAAAAUUUUCACAAAAUACUGUUUAAAUAUGUAUAUUUUUGAUAUGCCAAAUUGUUUAAAUGAAAUAUUUGUUUGUAUAUAUUAAAAAAAUGCAAUAAAUAUAG
Molecule: long non-coding RNA, 5778 nt
Organism: Zeugodacus cucurbitae (melon fly)
Lineage: Eukaryota; Metazoa; Arthropoda; Insecta; Diptera; Tephritidae
Exons: 3
Source: RefSeq, a predicted model, not a curated record